This 1061-nucleotide ribosomal RNA is filed under the name seawater metagenome. Its description in RNAcentral is "bacterial LSU rRNA". It matches the Rfam family "Bacterial large subunit ribosomal RNA", at positions 1393 to 2601 of the family's 2925-position model. The record is from RNAcentral.
AAGGCGAGGCCGAAAGGCGUAGUCGAUGGGAACCAGGUUAAUAUUCCUGGGCCAGAUGGAAGUGACGGAUCUCGAGGGUAGUUCAUCCUUAUCGGAUUGAAUGGGCUGCUUAGAGGUCCCUGGAAAUAGCUCCAUCGCUAGAUCGUACCCUAAACCGACACAGGUGGAUAGGUAGAGAAUACCAAGGCGCUUGAGAGAACCACAUUUAAGGAACUCGGCAAAAUACCUCCGUAAGUUCGCGAGAAGGAGGCCCGUUCAGAACGCAAGUUUUGGGCGGGGGCACAAACCAGGGGGUGGCGACUGUUUACUAAAAACACAGGGCUCUGCGAAGUCGUAAGACGACGUAUAGGGUCUGACGCCUGCCCGGUGCCUGAAGGUUAAAAGGAGGGGUGAGAGCUCUGAAUUGAAGCCCAGGUAAACGGCGGCCGUAACUAUAACGGUCCUAAGGUAGCGAAAUUCCUUGUCGGGUAAGUUCCGACCUGCACGAAUGGCGUAACGACUUCCCCGCUGUCUCAAAUGUGGACUCAGCGAAAUUGAAUUACCGGUCAAGAUGCCGGUUACCCGCGGUUAGACGGAAAGACCCCAUGCACCUUUACUAUAGCUUCGCAUUGGCAUCAGACACAGUAUGUGCAGGAUAGGUGGUAGGCUUUGAAGCGGGAACGCCAGUUCUCGUGGAGCCUCCCUUGAGAUACCACCCUUAUUCUGUUUGAUGUCUAACCGCGGUCCGUUAUCCGGAUCCGGGACCCUGCGUGGUGGGUAGUUUGACUGGGGCGGUCGCCUCCCAAAUUGUAACGGAGGCGCGCGAAGGUUGGCUCAGAGCGGUCGGAAAUCGCUCGUUGAGUGCAAUGGCAGAAGCCAGCCUGACUGCGAGACUGACAAGUCGAGCAGAGUCGAAAGACGGCCAUAGUGAUCCGGUGGUCCCGAGUGGAAGGGCCAUCGCUCAACGGAUAAAAGGUACGCUGGGGAUAACAGGCUGAUGGUGCCCAAGAGUCCAUAUCGACGGCACCGUUUGGCACCUCGAUGUCGCCCUAUAGUGAGUCGUAUAGAUCGGAAGAGCACAC